AGUACAGACGAGUUUGAUCCUGGCUCAGAGCGAACGUUUGCGGCGGGCUUAACACAUGCAAGUCGAACGAGAAUCCCUUCGGGGAGGAAAGUGGCGCACGGGCGCGUAACACGUGGAUAACCAACCCAUUGGUUUGGGACAACACCGGGAAACUGGUGCUAAUACCAGAUGUGUCGCAGCUGUCUUCAGGCGGUUGCGAGAAAGGCCCGCAAGGGUCGCCAACGGACGGGUCCGCGUCCCAUCAGCUAGUUGGUGAGGUAAUGGCUCACCAAGGCGACGAUCCUUAGCUGGUCUGAGAGGAUGAUCAGCCACACUGGGACUGAGACACGGCCCAGACUCCUACGGGAGGCAGCAGUGGGGAAUAUUGGACAAUGGGCGAAAGCCUGAUCCAGCAAUGCCGCGUGAGUGAUGAAGGCCUUAGGGUUGUAAAGCUCUUUACCAGGGAUGAUAAUGACAGUACCUGGAGAAUAAGCUCCGGCUAACUCCGUG
This 489-nucleotide ribosomal RNA is filed under the name uncultured bacterium. RNAcentral's name for it is "bacterial SSU rRNA". It matches the Rfam family "Bacterial small subunit ribosomal RNA", at positions 1 to 507 of the family's 1533-position model. The record is from RNAcentral.